This 25-nucleotide non-coding RNA is filed under the name Rattus norvegicus (Norway rat). Lineage: Eukaryota; Metazoa; Chordata; Mammalia; Rodentia; Muridae. The record is from RNAcentral.
UACUUCAAAGACACCUGCCUUGCCC